UACGUAGGGUGCGAGCGUUGUCCGGAAUUAUUGAGCGUAAAGAGCUCGUAGGCGGUGUGUCACGUCGGCCGUGAAAACCUGCAGCUUAACUGUGGGCGUGCGGUCGAUACGGGCAUCACUGGAGUUCGGCAGGGGAGACUGGAAUUCCUGGUGUAGCGGUGAAAUGCGCAGAUAUCAGGAGGAACACCGGUGGCGAAGGCGGGUCUCUGGGCCGAUACUGACGCUGAGGAGCGAGAGCGUGGGGAGCGAACAGG
RNAcentral lists this ribosomal RNA (254 nucleotides) under uncultured bacterium. RNAcentral's name for it is "partial 16S ribosomal RNA". It matches the Rfam family "Bacterial small subunit ribosomal RNA", at positions 524 to 776 of the family's 1533-position model. The record is from RNAcentral.